AUGGGAAAUAAGCAAGAGGAACUCCAACUCUUAGCACAGCACCACACAUACGAUGUCAUAGGCAUCACUGAAACCUGGUGGGAUGACUCCCAUCACUGGAAUGUAGCCAUUGAGGGCUAUAACCUCUUUCACAGAAAUAGAACAAAAGGGAGAGGAGGGGGAGUAGCUUUAUAUGUCAAAAACAGUUACGUUGCAGAAGAAAUGCAAGACUGUAAUCCGGGAAACCAGCUAGAAAGCAUCUGGAUAAGAAUCAAGGGAACCGGGACUCAAAAAGAUCUUGUCGUGGGUGUCUACUACAGACCUCCGAGUCAGGAUGAAGGACUUGAUGAAGCCUUCUGUCAACAGCUGACCAAACAGGCACAAAGAAGAGAUAUAGUAGUCAUGGGCGAUUUCAAUUAUUCCGAUAUCUGCUGGAAAACAAACUCGGCCAAGAGCACAAAGUCCAACAAAUUCCUCACUUGCCUUGCAGACAAUUUUAUGGUCCAGAGGGUAGAGGAGGCAACAAGGGGAUCAGCAACUCUUGAUCUAAUCUUAACAAAUGUGGAAGACCUGAUCAAUACAGUAGAAGUCGUCGGAUCCUUAGGGGCAAGUGACCAUGUGCUCCUGGAGUUUGCAAUACAAAGGAAUGCUGAAACUAAGACCAGUCAAACACGCAUUCUCGACUUUAAGAGAGCUGACUUCCAAAAAAUGAAGGAAUUACUGAGCAGCAUUCCAUGGACGCCAAUAUUAAAAGACAAGGGAGUUAACGAUGGAUGGGAGUUUUUUAAAAGUGAAAUAUUCAAGGCGCAAAUGCAAACAGUGCCAACAAAGAAGAAAAAUAAGACAAGUGCAAAGAAGCCAGAAUGGAUGUCCAAAGAACUUCUAACUGAGCUAAAGCUCAAAAGUGUCAUGCACAAGAAGUGGAAAAGGGGAGAAAUCACCAAAGAAGAAUUCAAACGUAUAGCCAACACCUGUAGGGAAAAGGUUCGCAAGGCUAAAGCACAAAAUGAGCUCAGGCUUGCCAGGGACAUAAAAAACAACAAAAAAGGCUUUUUUGCUUACGUUGGUAGAAAAAGGAAAAAAAAGGAGGCGAUAGGGCCAUUGCAAGGAGAAGAUGGGGUGAUGGCGACAGGGGACAGGGAAAAGGCAGAACUACUUAAUGCCUUCUUUGCCUCGGUCUUCUCACAAAAAGAAAGCCAUCUUCAACCUCAGCAACACGGAAUGGACGAAGGAUUGGGGGAAAUCCAACCCCAAAUAGGGAAACAAGUUGUCCAGGAACACUUGGCCUCUCUAAACGAAUUCAAGUCCCCAGGGCCAGAUCAGCUACACCCAAGAGUACUGAAGGAACUAGCGGAAGUUAUUUCAGAACCACUGGCAAUUAUCUUCGAGAGUUCUUGGAGAACGGGAGAAGUCCCAGAAGAUUGGAGAAGGGCGAAUGUGGUCCCUAUCUUCAAGAAGGGAAAAAAGAACGACCCAAACAAUUACCGUCCGGUCAGCCUCACAUCAAUACCAGGCAAAAUUCUGGAAAAGAUCAUUAAGGAAGUGGUCUGCAAACACUUAGAAACAAAUGCGGUCAUUGCUAAUAGUCAACACGGAUUUACCAAAAACAAGUCAUGCCAGACUAAUCUGAUCUCUUUUUUCGAUAGAGUUACGAGUUGGGUCGAUACAGGGAAUGCUGUGGAUGUAGCGUUCCCGGGAUUUCAGUAA
This 1686-nucleotide long non-coding RNA is filed under the name Anolis carolinensis (green anole). Its description in RNAcentral is "lncRNA (ENSACAG00000041876.1)". Lineage: Eukaryota; Metazoa; Chordata; Lepidosauria; Squamata; Anolidae. The record is from RNAcentral.